Molecule: long non-coding RNA, 378 nt
Filed under: Homo sapiens (human)
Lineage: Eukaryota; Metazoa; Chordata; Mammalia; Primates; Hominidae
Description: HSALNT0350850
Source: RNAcentral
GCUGAACAAAUUAUCUAAUUUUUCAGAUAAGAAAAUUGAAGCCCAGAAGAUGGAAACACUAAGAGACUUCCCACUGGGUUCCAGCCGGCACACCCAACCUCUUCAGGACCUGGCUCUCCUAGACAGUGAUUAUCUUGGCACAUUGCCACGGUCAAGAGCGACACCUCAAGACCAAAUUAGAAACAGUCACAAUAGCUUCACUUCUGUCAAUGGUUCAGCCUGAGCAACAGGCAUAAACUUCAUUUUUCUUCACCUGAUACUCUCUGAUUCAACACCCUACAUUUCUGCCAGGCUUGUGUGGUCUCUUUAGAAUGGCCAUACUCUAAAAAAAUUGCAAAUGGAACUGCAAAUCCACUACCUGUGUGUCUUCGGACCAGC